UACGUAGGGUGCAGGCGUUAAUCGGAAUUACUGGGCGUAAAGCGUGCGCAGGCGGUUUGCUAAGUCAGAUGUGAAAGCCCCGGGCUCAACCUGGGAAUUGCAUUUGAGACUGCGUAGCUAGGGUGCGGAAGAGGGAAGCGGAAUUUCCGGUGUAGCGGUGAAAUGCGUAGAUAUCGGAAGGAACACCAGUGGCGAAAGCGGCUUCCUGGUCCAGCACCGACGUUCAGGCACGAAAGCGUGGGGAGCAAACAGG
This 253-nucleotide ribosomal RNA is filed under the name uncultured bacterium. Its description in RNAcentral is "partial 16S ribosomal RNA". It matches the Rfam family "Bacterial small subunit ribosomal RNA", at positions 524 to 776 of the family's 1533-position model. The record is from RNAcentral.